AUUGAACGCUGGCGGCAGGCCUAACACAUGCAAGUCGAACGGUAACAGGAAGCAGCUUGCUGCUUCGCUGACGAGUGGCGGACGGGUGAGUAAUGUCUGGGAAACUGCCUGAUGGAGGGGGAUAACUACUGGAAACGGUAGCUAAUACCGCAUAACGUCGCAAGACCAAAGAGGGGGACCUUAGGGCCUCUUGCCAUCGGAUGUGCCCAGAUGGGAUUAGCCAGUAGGUGGGGUAACGGCUCACCUAGGCGACGAUCCCUAGCUGGUCUGAGAGGAUGACCAGCCACACUGGAACUGAGACACGGUCCAGACUCCUACGGGAGGCAGCAGUGGGGAAUAUUGCACAAUGGGCGCAAGCCUGAUGCAGCCAUGCCGCGUGUAUGAAGAAGGCCUUCGGGUUGUAAAGUACUUUCAGCGGGGAGGAAGGGAGUAAAGUUAAUACCUUUGCUCAUUGACGUUAUCCGCAGAAGAAGCACCGGCUAACUCCGUG
Molecule: ribosomal RNA, 490 nt
Filed under: uncultured bacterium
Lineage: Bacteria
Description: partial 16S ribosomal RNA
Rfam family: Bacterial small subunit ribosomal RNA
Source: RNAcentral